GGGGCGGUCGUCUAGCCUGGUAGGAUGGCACCUUCGGGAGGUGUCGACGAGAGUUCAAAUCUCUCCCGCCCCA
RNAcentral lists this transfer RNA (73 nucleotides) under archaeon. RNAcentral describes it as "tRNA-Pro". It matches the Rfam family "tRNA". From Rfam's summary of the family: Transfer RNA (tRNA) molecules are approximately 80 nucleotides in length. Their secondary structure includes four short double-helical elements and three loops (D, anti-codon, and T loops). Further hydrogen bonds mediate the characteristic L-shaped molecular structure. tRNAs have two regions of fundamental functional importance: the anti-codon, which is responsible for specific mRNA codon recognition, and the 3' end, to which the tRNAs corresponding amino acid is attached (by aminoacyl-tRNA synthetases). tRNAs cope with the degeneracy of the genetic code in two manners: having more than one tRNA (with a specific anti-codon) for a particular amino acid; and 'wobble' base-pairing, i.e. permitting non-standard base-pairing at the 3rd anti-codon position. RNAcentral also lists the same sequence under 1 other name. The record is from RNAcentral.